GAUGAACGCUGGCGGCGUGCCUAAUACAUGCAAGUCGAGCGAACAGACGAUGAGCUUGCUCCUCUGACGUUAGCGGCGGACGGGUGAGUAACACGUGGAUAACCUACCUAUAAGUCUGGGAUAACUUCGGGAAUCCGGAGCUAAUACCGGAUAAUAUAUUGAUCCGCAUGGUUGGAUAGUGAAAGUCGGUUUUGCUGUCACUUAUCGAUGGAUCCGCGCCGCAUUGGCUAGUUGGUAAUGUAACGGCCUACUAAGGCAACGAUGCGUAGCCGACGGGAGAGGGUGGUCGCCCACACUGGAGGGUGAACGGCGUCCAUGCUCCUACGGUAGGCCGCAGAAGGGUAUCGUCGGCAAUGGGCGGAAGCCUGACGGAACAGCGCCACGUGAGUGAUGGAGGUCUUCGGAUCGUAAAACUCUGUUAUGAGGGAAGAACAAAUGUGUAAGUAACUAUGCACGUCUUGACGGUACCUAGUAAGAAAGCCCCGGCUAACUACGUG
Molecule: ribosomal RNA, 497 nt
Filed under: uncultured bacterium
Lineage: Bacteria
Description: partial 16S ribosomal RNA
Rfam family: Bacterial small subunit ribosomal RNA
Source: RNAcentral